GAUGAACGCUAGCGGCGUGCAUGACCCAUGCAAGUCGAACGGGUGAGGGGCAAGACGGAAGGCUGGAGAUAGCGGAAGCGCGAAAGCGUGGAAGGGAAGGAAAGCCGGAAGGAAUACUCCGAGCCAGUGGCGGACGGGUGAGUAACACGUAGGUAAUCUGCCUUAAGGUGGGGAAUAGCUGUUCGAAAGGACAGAUAAUACCGCAUACGAUCGGAAGAUGAAAGGGCGCAAGCCCGCCUUAAGAUGAGCCUGCGGCCGAUUAGCUAGUUGGUGAGGUAACGGCCCACCAAGGCGAUGAUCGGUAGCUGGUCUGAGAGGACGAUCAGCCACACUGGAACUGACACACGGUCCAGACUCCUACGGGGGGCAGCAGGGAGGAAUAUUGCACAACGGGGGGAACCCAGGUGCAGCAACGCCGCGUGAGUGAAGAAGGCCUCGGUUGUAAACUACUUUCUUGUGGAGUGAGGAAGGACGAGUACCGACAGGAAUAAGUACUCGGCUAACUACGUG
RNAcentral lists this ribosomal RNA (510 nucleotides) under uncultured bacterium. RNAcentral describes it as "bacterial SSU rRNA". It matches the Rfam family "Bacterial small subunit ribosomal RNA", at positions 28 to 507 of the family's 1533-position model. The record is from RNAcentral.